RNAcentral lists this ribosomal RNA (497 nucleotides) under uncultured bacterium. RNAcentral describes it as "bacterial SSU rRNA". It matches the Rfam family "Bacterial small subunit ribosomal RNA", at positions 24 to 509 of the family's 1533-position model. The record is from RNAcentral.
UCAGGAUGAACGCUAGCUACAGGCUUAACACAUGCAAGUCGAGGGGCAGCGAUGGCGGUGGCUUGCCACCGCCGAUGGCGACCGGCGCACGGGUGAGUAACGCGUAUCCAACCUGCCCUCAACCGCGGAAUAGCCCGCCGAAAGGCGGAUUAAUGCCGCAUGAGCUCGCGCGGGGGCAUCUGCCCGCGAGCAAAGGUGUUUUCCGGUUGGGGAUGGGGAUGCGUCCGAUUAGGCAGCAGGCGGGGCGACGGCCCACCUGGCCUUCGAUCGGUAGGGGUUCUGAGAGGAAGGUCCCCCACAUUGGAACUGAGACACGGUCCAAACUCCUACGGGAGGCAGCAGUGAGGAAUAUUGGUCAAUGGGCGGAAGCCUGAACCAGCCAAGUAGCGUGUGGGACGACGGCCCUACGGGUUGUAAACCACUUUUGCGCGGGGAUAACCGCCCCACUUGUGGGGCCUGCAGGUACCGCGCUAAUAAGGACCGGCUAAUUCCGUGCC